Molecule: ribosomal RNA, 447 nt
Filed under: uncultured bacterium
Lineage: Bacteria
Description: partial 16S ribosomal RNA
Rfam family: Bacterial small subunit ribosomal RNA
Source: RNAcentral
AACGAACGCUGGCGGCAGGCUUAACACAUGCAAGUCGAGCGCCCCGCGAGGGGAGCGGCAGACGGGUGAGUAACGCGUGGGAACGUGCCCUUUGCUACGGAAUAGCUCCGGGAAACUGGAAUUAAUACCGUAUGAGCCCUACGGGGGAAAGAUUUAUCGGAAAAGGAUCGGCCCGCGGUGGAUUAGCUAGUUGGUGGGGUAAAGGGCUACCAAGGCGACGAGCCAUAGCUGGGCGGAGAGGGUGAUCAGACACAUUGGGACUGGGACACAGCCCAAACUCUUACGGGAGGCAGCAGUGGGGAAUAUUGGACAAUGGGCGCAAGCCUGAUCCAGCCAUGCCGCGUGAGUGAUGAAGGCCUUAGGGUUGUAAAGCUCUUUCACCGGAGAAGAUAAUGACGGUAUCCGGAGAAGAAGCCCCGGCUAACUUCGUGCCAGCAGCCGCCGUAA